UACAGAGGGGGCAAGCGUUGUUCGGAAUUACUGGGCGUAAAGGCGCGUAGGCGGCCGGUUAAGUCGAACGUGAAAUCCCCGGGCUCAACCCGGGAACUGCGUCCGAUACUGGCAGGCUUGAAUCCGGGAGAGGGAUGCGGAAUUCCAGGUGUAGCGGUGAAAUGCGUAGAUAUCUGGAGAACACCGGUGGCGAAGGCGGGUCUCUGGCCGAUACUGACGCUGAGGAGCGAAGCGUGGGGAGCGAACAGG
This 249-nucleotide ribosomal RNA is filed under the name uncultured bacterium. RNAcentral describes it as "partial 16S ribosomal RNA". It matches the Rfam family "Bacterial small subunit ribosomal RNA", at positions 524 to 776 of the family's 1533-position model. The record is from RNAcentral.